Long non-coding RNA from Serinus canaria (Common canary), 632 nucleotides. RefSeq lists it as uncharacterized. The record is from RefSeq and is a predicted model, not a curated record. NCBI's taxonomy places the organism in Eukaryota, Metazoa, Chordata, Aves, Passeriformes, Fringillidae. The transcript is spliced from 3 exons.
GGGCAGUGCUCUUUCCCGAUACAGAGUCAGCUGCUUGUGACCGAGAAAACAAGCCAAGCCCAGCUCCACAACCUGAGCCAGGGAGAAGAUCCCUGUUCAGCCAAGUUCGUCUGCUGCCUCAUCUGCUUGACUUCCAACAUUUUGGAAUUGCUGGCUACUGUGCCCUUAGGAGGCAACAAUAACAGUGCUCCUGUUUUACAUCUUGAGGCCAUACAGUUUUCUAGGCUGAAAAUCAGCAAAGUGUCAUUGAGGGCUACGUAAAGCUCCAGAAAGAAUUUCUGUCAAAAGUUCUACUGCAGCUGUGAUACUCCUUGCUGUUCACCUUUUUUCAAAAGCAUUUAACAGCUUUCAUCAAGAUCAACAACAGAAAUUUUGUCAAGUCUUUUGAUCUAAUAAACUUAGUCACUGGAGUGGAUCCACAUGGGGAAAUGCACAUACAUAAUCAUGAGAAGAAGAGAAGAAGUUUCUUGAAGGGAUCAUGAUCGAUUUGAUAAACUAAUAUUUAAUCUAAAUAUCUUACUUGCUUUGCAUAGUACUGGCAUUGCCCUGACAUGUUUUGCUCCUGGUACACAUCCAGCAAAAGAACUUUAUUCAUUGUUAGAUGUAUGAAUGCAAUCCAUACAAUUUCAUUG